This is a long non-coding RNA of Rhagoletis zephyria (snowberry fruit fly), 525 nucleotides long. RefSeq lists it as uncharacterized. NCBI's taxonomy places the organism in Eukaryota, Metazoa, Arthropoda, Insecta, Diptera, Tephritidae. The record is from RefSeq and is a predicted model, not a curated record.
UUCUUCCGAUAAAUUUUGAUAUCUUGUGGUGCGAUUCACCACGUCCAUCAUAUCAUCAUCGAUACUGGAUGCUGAAGCCAUUUUUCUAUAUGUGUUUGCACUACAGCUUCACUCGUUUCAAUAAAAACUCACAGAUGUUUACACUACAAACGCUGCUGCUAUACACGUUGCAUGCGCUCAAUUCAAUCUGAACGUUCUAUAUAAAGUUUUACAGGCACCACCAAAAAAACUAAUAUUUUUAAUUUUCAAAUCGAAACGGUUUCAUAACAGCUAUUAGAUGAGAAAUAUUAUUUAUUUCGCCGGUAAGAGUUAUAAUACAGCGUUUAUUUUUUACGUUGCUUGAUAACAGUUAUUUUCCAGCUUUUAUUUUUUACUUUGUCUGAUAAGUGUUAUAAGUUAACGAUAUCUAUGAAGAUGGAGAUGAAGUGGAAGGUAAAUAUGAUGAAAACAAAAGUGAGAUAGUGAAAAAACUCUCUUCAAGCAAUGUAAAAAAUAAGUGUUGCGAAAUAACUCUUAUGAGCAACG